GGGUGCCUCUUCCUUACUAGUUUCUAACACUAGUAGCAAUAUAUAGCAAUGAUACAUUGCUAGAUGUCAAUCUUGACUUAUAGGUUUGAUCAAAUUAAAGAGUUUAAUUUGAUCACCAAUUAAAAAAGAUUCUAAUUGUUGAACUCGGGUUAGCUUGAUUAGACCUAAAUCGGUUAGAUUGGAAUCUAAUCAAAUUCGAUCAACUUACACUCAAACCUACUACUGACUAGAUGUAGAACCAAAUGGGUCACACACAUAUGCAAAUUGGCC
Molecule: long non-coding RNA, 270 nt
Filed under: Elaeis guineensis (African oil palm)
Lineage: Eukaryota; Viridiplantae; Streptophyta; Magnoliopsida; Arecales; Arecaceae
Description: long non-coding RNA (EGUI_LNC043707)
Source: RNAcentral